GAUGAACGCUGGCGGCGUGCCUAAUACAUGCAAGUCGAGCGAACAGACGAGGAGCUUGCUCCUCUGACGUUAGCGGCGGACGGGUGAGUAACACGUGUAUAACCUACCUAUAAGACUGGGAUAACUUCGGGAAACCGGAGCUAAUACCGGAUAAUAUAUUGAACCGCAUGGUUCAAUAGUGAAAGACGGUUUUGCCGUCACUUAUAGAUGGAUCCGCGCCGCAUUAGCUAGUUGGUAAGGUAACGGCUUACCAAGGCAACGAUGCGUAGCCGACCUGAGAGGGUGAUCGGCCACCCUGGAACUGGGCCACGGUCCAGGCUCCUACGGGAGGCCGCAGUAGGGAAUCUUCCGCAGUGGUCGAAAGCCUGGCGGAGCAGCGCCGCGUGAGUGAUGAAAGUCUUCCGAUCGUAAAACUCUGUUAUUAGGGAAGAACAAAUGUGUAAGUAACUAUGCACGUCUUGACGGUACCUAAUCAGAAAGCCACGGCUAACUACGUG
RNAcentral lists this ribosomal RNA (497 nucleotides) under uncultured bacterium. RNAcentral's name for it is "partial 16S ribosomal RNA". It matches the Rfam family "Bacterial small subunit ribosomal RNA", at positions 28 to 507 of the family's 1533-position model. The record is from RNAcentral.